GCGAAUCAAUAGGAGCUUGCUCCUGUUGGUUAGCGGCGGACGGGUGAGUAACACGUGGGCAACCUGCCUGUAAGACUGGGAUAACACCGGGAAACCGGUGCUAAUACCGGAUAAUCCUUUUCCUCUCAUGAGGAAAAGCUGAAAGUCGGUUCCGGCUGACACUUACAGAUGGGCCCGCGGCGCAUUAGCUAGUUGGUGAGGUAACGGCUCACCAAGGCGACGAUGCGUAGCCGACCUGAGAGGGUGAUCGGCCACACUGGGACUGAGACACGGCCCAGACUCCUACGGGAGGCAGCAGUAGGGAAUCUUCCACAAUGGACGAAAGUCUGAUGGAGCAACGCCGCGUGAGCGAUGAAGGCCUUCGGGUCGUAAAGCUCUGUUGUUAGGGAAGAACAAGUACCGGAGUAACUGCCGGUACCUUGACGGUACCUAACCAGAAAGCCACGGCUAACUACGUGCCAGCAGCCGCGGUAAUACGUAGGUGGCAAGCGUUG
This 494-nucleotide ribosomal RNA is filed under the name uncultured bacterium. RNAcentral describes it as "bacterial SSU rRNA". It matches the Rfam family "Bacterial small subunit ribosomal RNA", at positions 66 to 543 of the family's 1533-position model. The record is from RNAcentral.